GGAGGUAUGGCUCAAGUGGAAGAGUAUGAGGCUACCAAGCUUGAGACCCUGAGUUCAAACCUUAGUAGUGCUA
Molecule: transfer RNA, 73 nt
Filed under: Dipodomys ordii (Ord's kangaroo rat)
Lineage: Eukaryota; Metazoa; Chordata; Mammalia; Rodentia; Heteromyidae
Rfam family: tRNA
About the family: Transfer RNA (tRNA) molecules are approximately 80 nucleotides in length. Their secondary structure includes four short double-helical elements and three loops (D, anti-codon, and T loops). Further hydrogen bonds mediate the characteristic L-shaped molecular structure. tRNAs have two regions of fundamental functional importance: the anti-codon, which is responsible for specific mRNA codon recognition, and the 3' end, to which the tRNAs corresponding amino acid is attached (by aminoacyl-tRNA synthetases). tRNAs cope with the degeneracy of the genetic code in two manners: having more than one tRNA (with a specific anti-codon) for a particular amino acid; and 'wobble' base-pairing, i.e. permitting non-standard base-pairing at the 3rd anti-codon position.
Source: Rfam by way of RNAcentral